Macaca fascicularis (crab-eating macaque) is the source of this 117-nucleotide unclassified non-coding RNA. It matches the Rfam family "Metazoan signal recognition particle RNA". From Rfam's summary of the family: The signal recognition particle (SRP) is a universally conserved ribonucleoprotein. It is involved in the co-translational targeting of proteins to membranes. The record is from Ensembl. NCBI's taxonomy places the organism in Eukaryota, Metazoa, Chordata, Mammalia, Primates, Cercopithecidae.
GUCGGGAGUGAUGGCUCACACCUGUAAUCCCAGCACUUUGGGAGACUGAGGCAGGUGGAUCACCUGAGGUCAGGAGUUCGAGACCAGCCUGGCCAACAUGGUGAAACCCUGUCUCUA